RNAcentral lists this transfer RNA (64 nucleotides) under Pacifastacus leniusculus (signal crayfish). RNAcentral's name for it is "tRNA-His". The record is from RNAcentral. Lineage: Eukaryota; Metazoa; Arthropoda; Malacostraca; Decapoda; Astacidae.
AUUUAAAUAGUUUAAUGAAAACGUUGAUUUGUGAUGUCAAAAUUAUAAGAGAUUAUUUUAAAUA